RNAcentral lists this long non-coding RNA (972 nucleotides) under Cricetulus griseus (Chinese hamster). RNAcentral describes it as "lncRNA (ENSCGRG00015040740.1)". The record is from RNAcentral. Lineage: Eukaryota; Metazoa; Chordata; Mammalia; Rodentia; Cricetidae.
ACAUAAACAAAGCAGGGUGCUUUCCCUUCCCAAGGGCUGAGCUUUCUCUCUUCCUUCUUCUGGCAGAGGCUUUCUAACUAUUCACAGGCUCUCUCCUUCCACAUCUCUCCCUCUCUGUGACACAGAAGAGAACCAAUGAGGAUGGCACGGCAGAGCCUAGGGCAACCCUAAGUAUCCUUCUAGCUGUUACAUGUCCCAGGCUUGCCCUUUACAUCUGGGGCCACAUUGUAUACAGAUGACUACAUGCUGCACUGCAUUGAUUUACUCAAUGUACUGCUCUUUUAGAUGGCCUCCUGAAUUUCAAACAAGGGAAGAACAGCAAGAUGGAAGAAUUCUCCAGUUUCUGACUUAUCUCAUUGAGGACCCUGGCGGUGUUCGUCCAUUCUCAGGAUCACAUGGCAGCUACUGUCCUUACUACAUUUCCCAGAAUUCUCCUAGUCCCACCUAUCUUUCUGCCUCAUUGGGUGAGCAGUGCUUCAUUCAACAACUGAUAAGAUAAACAUACACAGAAGGACGUCCCCUAUCAGGAAUAUAGUGAAUGUGUACAGGUAGUGCUCUAAGUGGCUGCACCUGAGGGCAUACCCUGCCAGAACCCCAAGGACAGACCAGUACACUUGCCUGAAUAUUAACAACACCCUGAUUCAACUCUGCUCCAAUAUAUAGAUGAUCUACUGGCAGCAGCCAGCACCACUACAUGUUUAAAAGAACAAAGGACUUGCUCCAGCUGCUCCAGACAUUGGGAUAUCAUGUCUCCCUGAAAAAAAACUCAACUUUGCCAAACAGAGGUCUCCUAUCUUGGAUACAAACUUUCUCUAUGUAGAACAACUCUCAGUGGCUUCUCAGAAUCUACCUACAUUCUUAAUUGAAGGUAUAUGUUUCCUUAGACACAAAUUUUACAACCAUGUUUCUACCAAAGACAAGGAAAAUUUAUCUUGUUCUAGUCCCUUUUUCUUCUUUUAUUUUGCUUUUUUC